UGUCAGCUAAAUGGCGGACGGGUGAGUAAUGUAUAGUUAAUCUGCCCUUUAGAGAGGAAUAACUACUGGAAACGGUAGCUAAUACCUCAUACUCCUUCUUUAUUAAUNAAAGUUGGGAAAUGUUUUUUCGCUAAAGGAUGAGACUAUAUGGUAUCAGGUAGUUGGUGGGGUAAGAGCCUACCAAGCCAAUGACGCCUAGCUGGUCUGAGAGGAUGAUCAGCCACACUGGAACUGAGACACGGUCCAGACUCCUACGGGAGGCAGCAGUGGGGAAUAUUGCACAAUGGAGGAAACUCUGAUGCAGCAACGCCGCGUGGAGGAUGACACAUUUCGGUGCGUAAACUCCUUUUAUAUGGGAAGAUAAUGACGGUACCAUAUGAAUAAGCACCGGCUAACUCCGUGCCAGCNGCCGCGGUAAUACGGAGGGUGCAAGCGUUACUCGGAAUCACUGGGCGUAAAGCGCGCGCAGGCGGUUUAUU
Molecule: ribosomal RNA, 479 nt
Filed under: uncultured prokaryote
Description: bacterial SSU rRNA
Rfam family: Bacterial small subunit ribosomal RNA
Source: RNAcentral